Molecule: long non-coding RNA, 450 nt
Filed under: Malus domestica (apple)
Lineage: Eukaryota; Viridiplantae; Streptophyta; Magnoliopsida; Rosales; Rosaceae
Description: long non-coding RNA (MDOM_LNC019835)
Source: RNAcentral
CUAGGCUUUGAAUUGCAUGGUUAAUGUUUUGUUUUUAAGUGCAUACAAGCAUGAUUCCGCCUUUUAAUUGUUAAUUGCAUGCUAUAGAUGUUGCUUAAAUGAACAUGUUUUUCACAAUAUUUCCUUCAAGUGGUAUCAGAGCAUAGGUCUAGUAGUUGGUGAAUCCUUUUGGGUUUUGUAGUUCAUAGUCUUUGAUUUAAAUGUUGUAAUUGUUACAAGCUUUAUUCUUGCUGCUUUGAAUGUAAAUUUUGUUAGAAAAGUUGCCAUCUCAAAUGUUGUAGAUGUAGUUCAUAUGAGCAUGAAUUUUGGAGCUAAAAUUUGGUGCCAUUUUUUGUGGGAUUUUCGGCCAAAUCCAAAGGGUGGAUUUUUGGGUUCAUGUUUGACUUGUUAAAAGUGUUUUCAAGUAACUUUUGGAACCCCUAUGUACCCUAGUUUGGUUAUAUGUUAUUU